RNAcentral lists this unclassified non-coding RNA (640 nucleotides) under Hevea brasiliensis (rubber tree). The record is from RNAcentral. Lineage: Eukaryota; Viridiplantae; Streptophyta; Magnoliopsida; Malpighiales; Euphorbiaceae.
UGCCAAACCUUCGUCUGACGACACUAGUCAACACAAUCGACGGUAAAGAUCAGCCAACCUCCGUUCCCGUUAAUUUCUCUUUUCUCUCUCCUUCGUCUCUGUUAUCCCGCACCACGCGGCUUUCGCUCUCUCCAUUGCUCUCUCGUCGUACCAUUUUCUUUCUCUUUCCUCAACUUUCACUCCUCUUUCUCUCAUUCAAAAUCGUGUCAAAUUUCGCUUCCACAUCGUUUCUAUUUCGUCCCACAGAUCUUUUCGUGUCCAAAAGAAAUUCGAAGCAGAGAUUGANUCUGCUCUUUCUAUCUAUCUCUAUCUUUUUGAAUUCUCUUUCUCGUGGUUGCACAAACCCAGCUGCGGAGAGAGAUUUGGCUUCUAUUUUGUUUUUCAUUCAGUAUUAAGCUUUCUUUUCAUGCAUCAUUUCUUGGGUUCUUGCUCAGAACAUUGAUCAAAAUAGAAUUAGCUUUCUAUAUUAAUUUCGUCGUUUCCCUCUUAAAGAUAUCCCACAGUUGAAGUAACUCUGCCGCUUGAAAUGGAUAGUUCAGAGACAUAAACAGAUUCUGUGGAUAUUCUGGGUGUUGGAUAGCAAUCUAAGCUUUUGAAUUUCUGUUUAUAACAUAAUAAUAAUAAUUAUUAUUAUUAUUUG